UUUAAAUGCAACCAUAAGUUUCCACGUCCAACUUUAAUCGUCCGUCUUAUGUGAAUUUUUUUUAAUUAGCAUUUUUGUUGUUAUGAGAUAAUAAAACAUAAAUAGUACUUUAUACGUGACUUAUGUUUUUACAUAUUUUCAAAAAAAUUUCAAAUAAGACGGACGAUCAAAGUUGGACACGAAAACCUAUGGCUGCACUUAAA
Non-coding RNA from Oryza meridionalis, 203 nucleotides. The record is from Rfam. NCBI's taxonomy places the organism in Eukaryota, Viridiplantae, Streptophyta, Magnoliopsida, Poales, Poaceae.